GGUCCUGUAGUUCAACGGAUAGAAUAGAAGUUUCCUAAACUUUAGAUAGGGGUUCGAUUCCCCUCGGGACUACCA
RNAcentral lists this transfer RNA (75 nucleotides) under Prevotellaceae bacterium. RNAcentral describes it as "tRNA-Arg". It matches the Rfam family "tRNA". Rfam says of the family: Transfer RNA (tRNA) molecules are approximately 80 nucleotides in length. Lineage: Bacteria; Pseudomonadati; Bacteroidota; Bacteroidia; Bacteroidales; Prevotellaceae. The record is from RNAcentral.